Molecule: long non-coding RNA, 345 nt
Filed under: Rosa chinensis
Lineage: Eukaryota; Viridiplantae; Streptophyta; Magnoliopsida; Rosales; Rosaceae
Description: sRNA RchiOBHm_Chr4g0416581
Source: RNAcentral
CGUCUGAUCCAAGUCGAGUCAGAUAAAGCUAGGCCUUUAGUUAUCGGCCGGUCGUAGUCAUCAAUUCAAAAAAGAGAUUUAUUAUCGAAAAGCCCAUCGGCCGAUUGUUCAAGUCAUUCUAGUCAGUUUCCAACUCGAACUCAACUUGGGAAGAUAAUACCUAAUCGAUAAAGUAAGCUGAUAAACGAUAGAGAUGAGGUGGGAUCUAGUAUUUCAGUCGAAUUGAAGUUCGUUAGCGGAUGAGGAGAGUUCAAUCCAAGAUAGUCUACUUCAAGAUUAAUCACAGCCGUUGAUGACGACCAUCACAGCCGAUCAAGAUAGAGUCCAGCGUCAAGUCAGCCGACG